GACGAACGCUGGCGGCGUGCUUAACACAUGCAAGUCGAACGGAAAGGCCCUGCUUUUGUGGGGUGCUCGAGUGGCGAACGGGUGAGUAACACGUGAGUAACCUGCCCUUGACUUUGGGAUAACUUCAGGAAACUGGGGCUAAUACCGGAUAGGAGCUCCUGCUGCAUGGUGGGGGUUGGAAAGUUUCGGCGGUUGGGGAUGGACUCGCGGCUUAUCAGCUUGUUGGUGGGGUAGUGGCUUACCAAGGCUUGGACGGGUAGCCGGCCUGAGAGGGUGACCGGCCACAUUGGGACUGAGGUACGGCCCAGACUCCUACGGGAGGCAGCAGUGGGGAAUAUUGCAAAAUGGGCGGAAGCAUGAUGGAGCGACGCCGCGUGCGGGAUGACGGCCUUCGGGUUGGAAACCGCUUUCGCCUGUGACGAAGCGUGAGUGACGGUAAUGGGUAAAGAAGCACCGGCUAACUACGU
RNAcentral lists this ribosomal RNA (467 nucleotides) under uncultured bacterium. RNAcentral's name for it is "partial 16S ribosomal RNA". It matches the Rfam family "Bacterial small subunit ribosomal RNA", at positions 28 to 506 of the family's 1533-position model. The record is from RNAcentral.